This 476-nucleotide ribosomal RNA is filed under the name Proteus mirabilis. Its description in RNAcentral is "bacterial SSU rRNA". It matches the Rfam family "Bacterial small subunit ribosomal RNA", at positions 39 to 507 of the family's 1533-position model. The record is from RNAcentral. Lineage: Bacteria; Pseudomonadati; Pseudomonadota; Gammaproteobacteria; Enterobacterales; Morganellaceae.
UCUUCGCAGUCUACCAUGCAGUCGAGCGGUACAGGAGAAGCUUGCUUUCUUGCUGACGAGCGCGCGGACGGGUGAGUAAUGUAUGGGGAUCUGCCCGAUAGAGGGGGAUAACUACUGGAAACGGUGGCUAAUACCGCAUAAUGUCUACGGACCAAAGCAGGGGCUCUUCGGACCUUGCACUAUCGGAUGAACCCAUAUGGGAUUAGCUAGUAGGUGGGGUAAAGGCUCACCUAGGCGACGAUCUCUAGCUGGUCUGAGAGGAUGAUCAGCCACACUGGGACUGAGACACGGCCCAGACUCCUACGGGAGGCAGCAGUGGGGAAUAUUGCACAAUGGGCGCAAGCCUGAUGCAGCCAUGCCGCGUGUAUGAAGAAGGCCUUAGGGUUGUAAAGUACUUUCAGCGGGGAGGAAGGUGAUAAGGUUAAUACCCUUAUCAAUUGACGUUACCCGCAGAAGAAGCACCGGCUAACUCCUGU